GCGCCAAUAGCUCAACUGGCAGAGCAGCUGACUCUUAAUCAGCGGGUUCGGGGUUCGAGUCCCUGUUGGCGCACAA
Molecule: transfer RNA, 76 nt
Filed under: Saccharopolyspora spinosa
Lineage: Bacteria; Bacillati; Actinomycetota; Actinomycetes; Pseudonocardiales; Pseudonocardiaceae
Description: tRNA-Lys
Rfam family: tRNA
About the family: Transfer RNA (tRNA) molecules are approximately 80 nucleotides in length.
Source: RNAcentral